GCCGGAAUAGCUAGAGCGUUAGACUGAAUAUCUAAAGGUCCCUGGUUCGAUCCCGGGUUUCGGCA
This is a non-coding RNA of Cordylochernes scorpioides, 65 nucleotides long. NCBI's taxonomy places the organism in Eukaryota, Metazoa, Arthropoda, Arachnida, Pseudoscorpiones, Chernetidae. The record is from the annotation of a GenBank genome assembly.